This is a long non-coding RNA of Equus quagga, 658 nucleotides long. RefSeq lists it as uncharacterized. The transcript has 3 exons. The record is from RefSeq and is a predicted model, not a curated record. Lineage: Eukaryota; Metazoa; Chordata; Mammalia; Perissodactyla; Equidae.
UGCAGAUGCUAAUAGCUAUUCAAUUUUCUAGAUCGAUUCUUUUAAAACUUAUGCAAAAAAGAAAAAGGAAAGAAAGAAAAAGAAGAGGAAAAAGAAAGAACCAACAACUCUGUUUCUAAGAUUUUAAAGCGAUAGGCAAGUCGGAGAAGCCGAGAUUUAUUCGGGAAAAUCCAGAGCGCGCUAAACCAACCUGGCGUUGGGAAGACCAGCCCGCCUGCUUGGAUGAUGGGACUGUUGAUUCCUUCAAUUAAUGAAAUGCAUUUGGUGUUAAUCAUAUUUAUUUUACUUUAUGGGAGAGGGGGCCGCUAGCAGGGUGCAUUAAAAAAAAAUAAUAAGAUUCUAAAAAGCCUGCAAAAAGAUCGAAGAGUGAAAACUAUUGUUGGACCGAGUUGGUUUUUACCUCAACAGCGCCACCUUUCGGCAAAGCUUUGUGCCAGCUGCAGAUGAAAUUGAUGUGCUUCUCGUAGGAUUUCACUUCUCUGAAGCAGGUCCCUCAUCUGGAACAUCGGGGUAUUGCCAGGAUUAGAGAUGGUGCCAAGUAUCUUCUACCGUGCGAGGCCACAGAGGAGCUCCACAAAUGAGAAACCUGGGAAUGAGAGCAGGAAGGAGCCCCCGAGUUGUUUAUGACCUGCCGUCUGUGGUCUGUGUCCUGCCUGAG